RNAcentral lists this non-coding RNA (148 nucleotides) under Nomascus leucogenys (northern white-cheeked gibbon). Lineage: Eukaryota; Metazoa; Chordata; Mammalia; Primates; Hylobatidae. The record is from Rfam by way of RNAcentral.
GCUGGGCAUGGUGGCACAUGCCUGUAGUCCUAGCUACUUGGGAGGCUGAGGCAGGAGAAUCACCUGAACCCAGGAGGCAGAGGUUGCAGUGAGCCAAGAUGGCACCACUGCACUCCAGCCUGGGUGACAGAGUGAGACUCUGUCUCAA